CACGGCGCACGGGUGCGUAACACGUGGGCAAUCUGCCCUCCGAUGGGGAAUAACCCCGCGAAAGCGGGGCUAAUACCGCAUAACAUUCCUUAGGCGAUGGUCUGAGGAUUCAAAGCAGUGAUGCGUCGGAGGAGGAGCCCGCGCCCGAUUAGCUAGUUGGUGAGGUAACGGCUCACCAAGGCAAUGAUCGGUAGCUGGUCUGAGAGGAUGAUCAGCCACACUGGAACUGAGACACGGUCCAGACUCCUACGGGAGGCAGCAGUGGGGAAUCUUGCACAAUGGGCGAAAGCCUGAUGCAGCGACGCCGCGUGGGGGAUGAAGCUUCUCGGAGUGUAAACCCCUUUCGCCUGGGACGAAUGCCCGCAAGGGAGUGACGGUACCAGGAUAAGAAGCCCCGGCUAACUACGUGCCAGCAGCCGCGGUAAGACGUAGGGGGCCAGCGUUGUUCGGAAUUACUGGGUGUAAAGGGUUCGUAGGCGGUGUGGCAAGUUGGGAGUGAAAUCUCUGGGCUCAACCCAGAGGCUGCUUCCAAAACUGCUGUGCUUGAGUGUGAGAGAGGCUCGUGGAAUUGCAGGUGUAGCGGUGAAAUGCGUAGAUAUCUGCAGGAACACCCGUGGCGAAAGCGGCGAGCUGGAUCACUACUGACGCUGAGGAACGAAAGCUAGGGGAGCAAACAGGAUUAGAUACCCUGGUAGUCCUAGCCCUAAACGAUCAGGACUUGGGGUGCCACCCGUUCGGGUGUCGUCCCGGAGCUAACGCGUUAAGUCCUGCACCUGGGGAGUACGGUCGCAAGACUGAAACUCAAAGGAAUUGACGGGGGCCCGCACAAGCGGUGGAACAUGUGGUUCAAUUCGA
This 855-nucleotide ribosomal RNA is filed under the name uncultured bacterium. Its description in RNAcentral is "bacterial SSU rRNA". It matches the Rfam family "Bacterial small subunit ribosomal RNA", at positions 94 to 954 of the family's 1533-position model. The record is from RNAcentral.